RNAcentral lists this ribosomal RNA (250 nucleotides) under uncultured bacterium. RNAcentral describes it as "partial 16S ribosomal RNA". It matches the Rfam family "Bacterial small subunit ribosomal RNA", at positions 524 to 773 of the family's 1533-position model. The record is from RNAcentral.
UACGUAGGUGGCAAGCGUUAUCCGGAUUUACUGGGUGUAAAGGGCGUGUAGGCGGGAAUGCAAGUCAGGUGUGAAAUUCCAGGGCUCAACCCUGGAACUGCACUUGAAACUGUAUUUCUUGAGUGAUGGAGAGGCAGGCGGAAUUCCGUGUGUAGCGGUGAAAUGCGUAGAUAUACGGAGGAACACCAGUGGCGAAGGCGGCCUGCUGGACAUUAACUGACGCUGAGGCGCGAAAGCGUGGGGAGCAAAC